This 72-nucleotide transfer RNA is filed under the name Ovis aries (sheep). It matches the Rfam family "tRNA". From Rfam's summary of the family: Transfer RNA (tRNA) molecules are approximately 80 nucleotides in length. Their secondary structure includes four short double-helical elements and three loops (D, anti-codon, and T loops). Lineage: Eukaryota; Metazoa; Chordata; Mammalia; Artiodactyla; Bovidae. The record is from Rfam by way of RNAcentral.
UCCCGGGUAGUUCAGCUGGUAGAAAAUCUGCCUGGAAUUCAGGAGACCCUGGUUCGAUUCCUGGCAAGGGUU